CGGAGGAUCCAAGCGUUAUCCGGAAUCAUUGGGUUUAAGGGGUCCGUAGGCGGUUUUAUAAGUCAGUGGUGAAAUCUGGUCGCUCAACGAUCAAACGGCCAUUGAUACUGUAAGACUUGAAUUACUUGGAAGUAACUAGAAUAUGUAGUGUAGCGGUGAAAUGCUUAGAGAUUACAUGGAAUACCAAUUGCGAAGGCAGGUUACUACAAGUAUAUUGACGCUGAUGGACGAAAGCGUGGGGAGCGAACAGGAUUAGAUACCCUGGUAGUCCACGCCGUAAACGAUGGAUACUAGCUGUUUGGAGCAAUCUGAGUGGCUAAGCGAAAGUGAUAAGUAUCCCACCUGGGGAGUACGCUCGCAAGAGUG
Molecule: ribosomal RNA, 366 nt
Filed under: uncultured organism
Description: bacterial SSU rRNA
Rfam family: Bacterial small subunit ribosomal RNA
Source: RNAcentral